AUCUUGAAAACGGAAAAUAAAAACAGCAGACCUAUGAAGGUCGAAGGGGAAGAAAAGCUGUAUCGAUUGUUGAGAUCUGGCGACUUGUUUAAAUUUCAUCAGCCUCACUUCUAUGAACUCUCAGAGCUGAUUACCAACUCCUACCACUGUUAACCCUCAUCCAGGAACAAGCUUAUGUCUUUAACAUUCUGAGUGGGCUUCAGCAUCCUUGCAUAUGUUCAAUUCUUAAAAACCUGUUGAAAUAAAAGAUCAGGAGACAUAGGAAGGAUGCCAGAAGAGAGCGUGGCCUCACGUGUACCAGCUCUCUGCUCUCCUUUGCCUUGGGACGUUCCAUCCCUGGAAGUUUCCCUGCCCACAUCUUUGUAGAGAGUCCAUUCUCCAAGCUUCAGUGUGUCAUCUGUGAGGACCGUGACCCACCUGGUACAUCGCCUCAGGGCAUUCAUUUCAGGCUCCUUCUAAAUGGCCAAGGCACCCUUGGAAAUGCAAUGCUACAUCUCAAUGGGAUUUUCCAGUACAAAGAUUCUUUUCAAAUAACAUAAUUGUGGAUACACACCACUCCUACAGUGCUGCACUGAUGAGGAAACUGAAACAGAAAAUCCAGAGUAAAUUCCACCAGGCCACACAGCAAGGUCUGAUAGAGCCAGGAGAGACUUUAUGAAAUCCAGACUCUCACACUAAUGCUCUAUCAGCUAGACCUCCAUGUGAGUCUCCCCAAUGUAGGUAGGAAGUGCUUUCCC
Molecule: long non-coding RNA, 737 nt
Filed under: Homo sapiens (human)
Lineage: Eukaryota; Metazoa; Chordata; Mammalia; Primates; Hominidae
Description: non-protein coding TEX41:124
Source: RNAcentral